AUGCACGCUGGCGGCGUGCCUAAUACAUGCCAGUCGAGCGAACGGACGAGAAGCUUGCUUCUCUGAUGUUAGCGGCGGACGGGUGAGUAACACGUGGAUAACCUACCUAUAAGACUGGGAUAACUUCGGGAAACCGGAGCUAAUACCGGAUGAUAUUUUGAACCGCAUGGUUCAAAAGUGAAAGACGGCCUUGCUGUCACUUAUAGAUGGAUCCGCGCUGCAUUAGCUAGUUGGUAAGGUAACGGCUUACCAAGGCAACGAUGCAUAGCCGACCUGAGAGGGUGAUCGGCCACACUGGAACUGAGACACGGUCCAGACUCCUACGGGAGGCAGCAGUAGGGAAUCUUCCGCAAUGGGCGAAAGCCUGACGGAGCAACGCCGCGUGAGUGAUGAAGGUCUUCGGAUCGUAAAACUCUGUUAUUAGGGAAGAACAUAUGUGUAAGUAACUGUGCACAUCUUGACGGUACCUAAUCAGAAAGCCACGGCUAACUACGUG
This 496-nucleotide ribosomal RNA is filed under the name uncultured bacterium. RNAcentral's name for it is "partial 16S ribosomal RNA". It matches the Rfam family "Bacterial small subunit ribosomal RNA", at positions 29 to 507 of the family's 1533-position model. The record is from RNAcentral.